RNAcentral lists this transfer RNA (74 nucleotides) under Candidatus Portnoyibacteriota bacterium. RNAcentral's name for it is "tRNA-Met". It matches the Rfam family "tRNA". From Rfam's summary of the family: Transfer RNA (tRNA) molecules are approximately 80 nucleotides in length. The record is from RNAcentral. Lineage: Bacteria; Candidatus Portnoyibacteriota.
CGCGGGGUGGAGGAGUAGUACCUCAUAGGUCCCAUAAGCCUAAGACGUCGGUGCAAAUCCGGCCCCCGCAACUA